Molecule: ribosomal RNA, 301 nt
Filed under: uncultured bacterium
Lineage: Bacteria
Description: partial 16S ribosomal RNA
Rfam family: Bacterial small subunit ribosomal RNA
Source: RNAcentral
CAGCAGCCACGGUAAAACGUAGGGUGCAAGCGUUAUCCGGAAUUAUUGGGCGUAAAGAGCUCGUAGGCGGUUUGUCGCGUCUGCUGUGAAAACUGGAGGCUCAACCUCCAGCCUGCAGUGGGUACGGGCAAACUAGAGUGCGGUAGGGGAGAUUGGAAUUCCUGGUGUAGCGGUGGAAUGCGCAGAUAUCAGGAGGAACACCGAUGGCGAAGGCAGAUCUCUGGGCCGUAACUGACGCUGAGGAGCGAAAGCAUGGGGAGCGAACAGGAUUAGAUACCCCAGUAGUCCCUGUCUCUUAUAA